GACGUAGGGCGCGAGCGUUGUCCGGAUUUAUUGGGCGUAAAGAGCUCGUAGGCGGCUUGUCGCGUCGUCCGUGAAAACCCGCAGCUCAACUGCAGGCUUGCGGUCGAUACGGGCAGGCUAGAGUUCGGUAGGGGAGACUGGAAUUCCUGGUGUAGCGGUGAAAUGCGCAGAUAUCAGGAAGAACACCCGUGGCGAAGGCGGCUCUCUGGAACGCAACUGACGCUGAGACGCGAAAGCGUGGGGAGCAAACAGG
Molecule: ribosomal RNA, 253 nt
Filed under: uncultured bacterium
Lineage: Bacteria
Description: partial 16S ribosomal RNA
Rfam family: Bacterial small subunit ribosomal RNA
Source: RNAcentral